GCUCCUCCGCCUGCCGUAUCUCCUCAUGCAGGUUGUACAGUAAUACUACUAUAGUACUACUAUAAUACUACUAUAAUAACCUUGUCUCGUAGCUCCUCCGCCUGCCGUAUCUCCUCAUGCAGGUUAUACAGUAAUACUACUAUAGUACUACUAUAAUACUACUAUAAUAACCUUGUCUCGUAGCUCCUCCGCCUGCCGUAUCUCCUCAUGCAGGUUGUACAGUAAUACUACUAUAGUACUACUAUAAUACUACUAUAAUAACCUUGUCUCGUAGCUCCUCCGCCUGCCGUAUCUCCUCAUGCAGGUUGUACAGUAAUACUACUAUAGUACUACUAUAAUACUACUAUAAUAACCUUGUCUCGUAGCUCCUCCGCCUGCCGUAUCUCCUCAUGCAGGUUAUACAGUAAUACUACUAUAGUACUACUAUAAUACUACUAUAAUAAC
This is a long non-coding RNA of Oncorhynchus keta (chum salmon), 444 nucleotides long. RefSeq lists it as uncharacterized. The record is from RefSeq and is a predicted model, not a curated record. NCBI's taxonomy places the organism in Eukaryota, Metazoa, Chordata, Actinopteri, Salmoniformes, Salmonidae. The transcript has 3 exons.